AAGUCGUAACAAGGUUUCCGUAGGUGAACCUGCGGAAGGAUCAUUAAAAAAUCGCUUGAGCCGCAAGGCUCUAUUCUUUUGUGAAACGUCUGUGGAAGCUUGUGACGGUGCGUGGCAGUGGCUCGUCCGCUGGCAUACAUCGCUGCUAGUCUGCCAUUAUUAUAUUAAACAUAUGUCUUUGAUGUUGAGGAAAUUGUCUAUGAUAAUAUAUAUAUACAACUUUCAACAGUGGAUCUCUCGGCUCUU
This 246-nucleotide unclassified non-coding RNA is filed under the name fungal sp. RNAcentral's name for it is "partial internal transcribed spacer region". The stretch from base 1 to 46 matches the Rfam family "Eukaryotic small subunit ribosomal RNA", at positions 1786 to 1831 of the family's 1831-position model. The record is from RNAcentral. Lineage: Eukaryota; Fungi.